CAGUAUAUGCUACACAGGGGGGAAGAUUAUUGGAGUUUGCCUGCAGUAUUCCCAAGACAUUAUGAUAUCAGAUACAACAGGACACCUUAGGAGGUCUUGAUGGGUAAAAGCUGUUUUGGCAUCACAGUGAAGACCUGUACAAUUUUUGUCCUGAGUGAGUGUCAAAGCCGCGUCCAUACAGCUGAUUGGCAAAGAAGCAAGCGUUGGAUUACUAUUGACCUAAUAUUGAUGUCCCAGGCCAUGCAUAAGCCAUAUAUUUUAACCCAUUAAGGACUCAGCCUAUUUGGGCCUUAAAGGGGUACUCC
This is a long non-coding RNA of Hyla sarda, 305 nucleotides long. RefSeq lists it as uncharacterized. NCBI's taxonomy places the organism in Eukaryota, Metazoa, Chordata, Amphibia, Anura, Hylidae. The record is from RefSeq and is a predicted model, not a curated record. The transcript is spliced from 3 exons.